AGCGCAGGCGGGUCGGCAAGUCCUUGGUGAAAUCCUGAGGCUUAACCUCAGGACUGCCAAUGAUACUGCUGAUCUUGAGUGCAGAAGAGGAAGACGGAAUUCCUGGUGUAGCGGUGAAAUGCGUAGAUAUCAGGAAGAACACCGGUGGCGAAGGCGGUCUUCUGGUCUGCAACUGACGCUCAUGCUCGAAAGCGUGGGGAGCAAACAGGAUUAGAUACCCUGGUAGUCCACGCCCUAAACGAUGGAUACUCGAUGUCGGGUCGCAAGGCCCGGUGUCCAAGCUAACGCGUUAAGUAUCCCACCCGGGGAGUACGAUCGCAAGGUUGAA
This 328-nucleotide ribosomal RNA is filed under the name uncultured bacterium. Its description in RNAcentral is "bacterial SSU rRNA". It matches the Rfam family "Bacterial small subunit ribosomal RNA", at positions 568 to 898 of the family's 1533-position model. The record is from RNAcentral.